This 257-nucleotide ribosomal RNA is filed under the name uncultured bacterium. RNAcentral's name for it is "partial 16S ribosomal RNA". It matches the Rfam family "Bacterial small subunit ribosomal RNA", at positions 524 to 776 of the family's 1533-position model. The record is from RNAcentral.
UACGUAGGGUGCAAGCGUUGUCCGGAAUUAUUGGGCGUAAAGAGCUCGUAGGCGGUCUGUCGCGUCGGCUGUGAAAACUCGGGGCUCAACCCCGAGCCUGCAGUCGAUACGGGGCAGACUAGAGUGCUGUAGGGGAGACUGGAAUUCCUGGUGUAAGCGGUGGAAAUGCGCAGAUAUCAGGAGGAACACCGGUGGCGAAGGCGGGUCUCUGGGCAGUAACUGACGCUGGAGGAGCGAAAGCGUGGGGAGCGAACAGG